RNAcentral lists this unclassified non-coding RNA (341 nucleotides) under soil metagenome. RNAcentral describes it as "partial contains 5.8S ribosomal RNA, internal transcribed spacer 2, and large subunit ribosomal RNA". The stretch from base 1 to 120 matches the Rfam family "5.8S ribosomal RNA", at positions 35 to 154 of the family's 154-position model. The record is from RNAcentral.
GAUGAAGAACGUAGCGAAAUGCGAUAAGUAGUGUGAAUUGCAGAAUUCAGUGAAUCAUCGAAUCUUUGAACGCACAUUGCGCCCUUUGGUAUUCCAAAGGGCAUGCCUGUUCGAGCGUCAUUUGUACCCUCAAGCUUUGCUUGGUGUUGGGCGUCUUGUCUCUAGCUUUGCUGGAGACUCGCCUUAAAGUAAUUGGCAGCCGGCCUACUGGUUUCGGAGCGCAGCACAAGUCGCACUCUCUAUCAGCAAAGGUCUAGCAUCCAUUAAGCCUUUUUUUCAACUUUUGACCUCGGAUCAGGUAGGGAUACCCUCUGAACUUAAGCAUAUCAAUAAGCGGAGGA